UCCGCCUACGGGAGGCAGCAGUAGGGAAUUUUCGUCAAUGGGCGCAAGCCUGAACGAGCGACGCCGCGUGAGUGAAGAAGGCCUUCGGGUCGUAAAGCUCUGUUGCGGGGGAAAAAAGGCAGCAUCAGGAAAUGGGUGCUGACUGAUGGUGCCCCGCCAGAAAGUCACGGCUAACUACGUGCCAGCAGCCGCGGUAAUACGUAGGUGGCGAGCGUUAUCCGGAAUGAUUGUGCGUAAAGGGUGCGCAGGCGGUCCUGCAAGGCUGGAGAGAAACGCAUGAGCUCAACUCA
This 290-nucleotide ribosomal RNA is filed under the name uncultured bacterium. RNAcentral describes it as "partial 16S ribosomal RNA". It matches the Rfam family "Bacterial small subunit ribosomal RNA", at positions 334 to 616 of the family's 1533-position model. The record is from RNAcentral.